RNAcentral lists this unclassified non-coding RNA (216 nucleotides) under soil metagenome. Its description in RNAcentral is "partial contains 5.8S ribosomal RNA, internal transcribed spacer 2, and large subunit ribosomal RNA". The record is from RNAcentral.
AACCUAGCACACCUGCGGUGUGUACCUGCGGAAGGAUCAUUACAGAGUUAUCCAACUCCCAAACCCAUGUGAACUUAUCUCUUUGUUGCCUCGGCGCAAGCUACCCGGGACCCCGCGCCCCGGGCGGCCCGCCGGCGGACAAACCAAAACUCUUGUUAUCUUAGUUGAUUCUCUGAGCGUCUUAUUUAAUAAGUCAAAACUUUCAGCAACGGAUCU